RNAcentral lists this long non-coding RNA (408 nucleotides) under Capsicum annuum. Its description in RNAcentral is "long non-coding RNA (CANN_LNC010870)". Lineage: Eukaryota; Viridiplantae; Streptophyta; Magnoliopsida; Solanales; Solanaceae. The record is from RNAcentral.
UAUACUUAAUCUGUAUCAAAUUUAAUGAAUGUCGGAGCAUAAAAAAUUUGCUUUAGAUUGUCCUCAAUUGUUUUUUCCUUUGACCCUUUAAUCCCCUGAUGCUGAUUUAUUUUAAAUUUUUUUGUUUUUGAAUAUAGGGGUGCCAAGGGAUUCAAAAGUCUAGGACAAUGGAGGGGGCUGAUUUGCUGACAAAUUUGUUGGAACAAUGAAGUUGAAAUUGAGAAACAAAAAAAAUUUGCUGACAAAUUUGUUGGAACAAUGAAGUUGAAAUUGAGAAAAAAAAAAAAAAUUGUUCAAUUAGUAUUUACACUAAAUCAAUACGAAUGCAUGAUAUGUAUUUUUCAUAAAUGUUAGUUAAACGAUAUGUUUUUCGUUUAAUAAUGAUAUGAUGUGACAACUUGAGGGACA